RNAcentral lists this ribosomal RNA (497 nucleotides) under uncultured bacterium. RNAcentral's name for it is "partial 16S ribosomal RNA". It matches the Rfam family "Bacterial small subunit ribosomal RNA", at positions 28 to 507 of the family's 1533-position model. The record is from RNAcentral.
GAUGAACGCUGGCGGCGUGCCUAAUACAUGCAAGUCGAGCGAACAGACGAGGAGCUUGCUCCUCUGACGUUAGCGGCGGACGGGUGAGUAACACGUGGAUAACCUACCUAUAAGACUGGGAUAACUUCGGGAAACCGGAGCUAAUACCGGAUAAUAUAUUGAACCGCAUGGUUCAAUAGUGAAAGACGGUUUUGCUGUCACUUAUAGAUGGAUCCGCGCCGCAUUAGCUAGUUGGUAAGGUAACGGCUUACCAAGGCGACGAUGCGUAGCCGACCUGAGAGGGUGAUGGGCCACACUGGAACUGAGACACGGUCCAGACUCCUACGGGAGGCAGCAGUAGGGAAUCUGCCGCAAAGGGCGAAAGCCUGACGGAGCAACGCCGCGUGAGUGAUGAAGGUCUUCGGAUCGUAAAACUCUGUUAUUAGGGAAGAACAAAUGUGUAAGUAACUAUGCACGUCUUGACGGUACCUAAUCAGAAAGCCACGGCUAACUACGUG